CGACUGAAUGAGCAUUGAGGUAAUUAUCGAUUGUAUAGCCGAUUCCCGGGUUUUAAAUGGUCUUGGUUACAAUAUUUGUCAUUGGAUAAAGACCAACUAUGUUGUCAUGUAAUAAAAAACCAUAAAGGGUAGAUAUAAAAGCCAAACGAGUGAGGUUUACGGGUCUUAUCAUUUGAAUUAAUGAUGUUGAAAUACUUGCAUUGACGAAAAUGGGAAUACGAAUAUUGUUAUUCAUGUGUUUAUUUACACUCUGCAUACCACUGGCGUCAUCUUCCUGUGGAAAAGUUUUGUUCUCGACUUGGUUUACAGUAAAGGAAUUUGAUGUUGACACACGCAAUGUGACUGUUCUGAUUGACUCUGGAUUAAGUGGUGUGUAUGCUAUGGACUACGAUUACGAAAACAGAUAUGUGUAUUUCCCAAAAUACAGUUCCGAAGAGAUUGUGCGAUUGGAGUUUUCAAUGGAAGAAGUAUGUCGCCAAGAAACAGCAAGAAGUUUCAGCACGACUUCGAUGAGCAACCGCAAAAAAAUCACUACACACAGUAUAGCACAUAAGAUAAAGCUUCGAGCCAAAUAUAUCAAUACUGUUCUGACACCUUGUUGGGAAAAUUUUGUGAAGACGACACAUACUACGAAGCAGACGCAAGACGACAGAUAGUGAUCUUUCUACAUGCUCAGGCAACAUAAUGAAAAUAUAUUUAUCUGAUGGAAAGAAGGAUUUAGGAAGAAAUCUAGUGCAUGAUCAAGCUUAUCUUUAUUCAUUUUUUGGCGAACACAUUUUCUUUAUUUGGAGGUGGAAGACCUGAAAUAUAUCAAAUCAAUGUUAUGCUCACAAUUGAUACAACAAAUAUAGGUUUCAGUAAAAAGGAAGAUCAAGAGCCAUAUGGGUGGUCUAAACAACUUACUGAAAUUGAGUUUGUAAAGCUGAACUAUCAAGAUUUGCAUAUCCCGCAAAGAACAUAAUAUUACAGACAGUUGUCAAGACGGGUUUAUACCCUUCAGGAAUAGCUGUUGAUUCAGCCAAUGAUUAUAUCUACUGGAUUGAGUAUGAUUUAGCCGGACUCUCAAGAUGCAAUCUAGACGGAAGCAAUGUGACUGUUUUAUCAACUUUAAGUAGUCCUUGGGCGAUACGACUCGAUCUUAUAAACAGGUGGAUGUAUAUAGUUGAACGUUAUUCAGGAAUUUUGAAGUCCAGAUUCAAUUCAACUGAACAGCAGGCUAUCGUUAAUUUUACAUCACAACGUGUUGACUGCAUUGAUAUAGACACUGAGGAGCAAAGAUUGUUUUGGAUUAAUUAUGAUGGUGACAUGAAAUCAGCCAAGGAUGAUGGCUCUGAUAUAACAAUAAUCCAUUCAACACAUUCUGAAAAAGCUUACCACGCUAUUGGUGUUAUAAGAACCUACAUGUAUUAUGCUAAUUACAAUCAGUUGCUGAUGGUAGACAAAGCACCAGGAUCCACGUCGAAUGUUCUGUAUACGGAUACCGGUCAUAUUGACAGUAUUUUUGUCUUUAUCAAAUCAGGUGUGUAAACCGCAAUUUAUUAAAAUAAUCAUAUUAAGAAACCGAAUGCACGUUUACACUUUCAUACUAUUAUGGGUCAACUCUUUUCGAAGAUGGAACUUUGGGACCUUUCUUUCUCUUCUUUCUUUCUUAUGUGUAAGCUUCCUAUCUUAGGAAACAUCCCUUAAUGGGUAAUAAGGAAUAUCUGCAUAAAUGGGUAAGAACGUAAAUUUUUUGAAUUUUUAAAAUUUCAAAUUUUGUCCUUAAUGACGACAUAUGACCAAUUGUUUCAAAUACACUGUGCAUAUGAUUCAUCAAUAUCGAUUACUGAGUUUGCGUUUCUUGUGAUUAAUUGUGUUUCUCUGCAGACGCAUACUGCUUUGUAACUAUUAGUAAUGUAUAAAUUGUAGCACAUUAAUUAACAAUAAACACUGUCUUUAGUGAGUUAUGUAACUUGGCAACAGUAUCAAUUUUGAAUCACAUUUUUGAAUUAUAUUGAAGAACGCAUACAUUUGAUGCCAUAAUAUACUUAUUAACAUGCGUAUUGAAUAUAUGAAGUUAUGUACGAUUUUUGUAUUUAUUUAAAUUGAAUAUUUGUAAAAUAAAACACAAAACACUCCCGUUUCAUGACUUAUCUUGAGUAUAUCUAAAUAUUUAUAUUGUUUUCAUAUUUGUACAUGUUGUAUUUAUGAUGUUUGCUUGUUUUACAUAAAUGCGCAUGCUGUUUAUAGUGAUUCACGUGUUGCUUGAUAUAUCUAUUUUUGUUUUGCUUCUGCUUUUUCGUUUUAACAUUUGUAUGUAUAUUGGUGUUUUCUUUUCAUAUUUCAAUGUUUUUACAGAGAUAUUUCACAUUACCUCCUACAAUUAAAUACAUAAGUUUAUGUGUACCUUUUUAGCGUUUAAUUUAAUAUUAAGUCAUGUUUUUUACAUCACACUUCCUUAUAGAUGAUACAGAUACAUAUAAUAAAUUUGAAUACAUCGUUUAACAAUUAUCAAUAUUUUUAGAUAAUUUCAAUGGCAACAUUUAUUAGGACUAAGGAAAAAAAUGAUGAGGUCUGUAAUUAUUUUAUCAAUAGCAUGUUUGCACCAUUACUGAUGUGUUUAAAUAUAAAAUUGAUAUAUUUUAAAGUCAAAUAAAGGCUAUUUACCUGUAAUAACAAUAAACAAAUCUGAUUUUAGAAAUAUGAUUUUCAUUUAAAGUGAUAAAACAAACUGAAAAUUUUAAAGCAUUUGAAUUCAUUGUUAACAUAUUACCUUUUUAUUGGUAUGUCUCACUGGAGCAAAGUGGUAAACAAGGAACUACUCACUACGAAAAUAAUAAGAACCUGGAAAAACACCGCAAGACAAAGGAAAAUUAUGACGACUAAUGUACAACCAACAUCACCACAGAUCAGCCAACAACUUCAAAGUAUUUCUAACAAUAUCUUAGUACAGUCAAUACCACCAGAGUGCAGGACAGCAGCAAUCCGUAUUACAGGUCUGUUUAACCAUUUCGAUAUUAAACAGAUUGCAUUUGUCAAGUGCAAAAACAAUAUGCAAGAUAUGAAGAUUGACUUUAUUCAUAUUAGAUGAAAUUGUAAGACAAUUGACGUCCGUUUAUAACACGUACAUGGUAAGAACGAGCGAAGACUUCACAGAGUGUAAAGACAAUAUACACUGGUAGACGACAGUGUUCAACAUAACUUUUUGGGGUAUAUUAAAGAAAAUAAACUAAGUGUGAAUCAUACAACUAAACGUUUAUGAUUGAUGGAACUUCUUCCUUUCAGUGAACAGGAAUUUCAAUUUUGCAAAAAGAGACAUGGUUACCAUUGUUGUGCAUUUCAUUCAAAACUUUAUUAUCGAUAUUUAUUUGGAGAUGUAAACUAAUGUUUCAAGUGUUCAACACUAUUUAUCCACCGCAUAUGUACCAUGACCUUGAUUUUCUCGACUACUUUCCUUUUAAAAAACAAAAAUCAUAUAAAAAUAAAGAGAUGUUGUAUGAUUGUCAUUGAGACAACUAUCUACCAAGUCAUUUGUAUCAACAUAUUCAUUUAUGAAAUAACAUUGUAGCUGUAAAACAUUUUGACUUUGUAUUCUGUCAUUUUCUGACACAUUUAAACUCAGGAAUUUUGUUGUUCCUUUGCUAUAUUUCGCUUCUUUUUACAGUUUUAAUAUUAUCUUGUCUAUGUCGAUAACUAUACCUAUAUUGGGGACUUUUUAAAAAUACUUUCAAUUGGAAAAUGAUAAGAUUAUAUUGUACAUUUGUACUAACAUAUGACAGGCCGAUAACGUUUUUUCAGAAACUUAUAUACAAAUAGUCGAACAAUUUUCUGACCUUGGGUUCAUUUGACCAAUACUGAUGACUCUUUUACUUCCUAAGGAUGACUUUCACAUUAAAAAAUAUCCACAUUUAUUUAUAUAAUAUGUGAACAAGCUUAACUAUAAAACAUGUUCACCUACAUAUCAUGACAAUACCUACAAAAACUGCAUUUUGUAUAAGCAUGGUGCACUCCUUCAAUUAUUUACUACGAAUAAUCGAUAAGAACUGUUGCAACACAUAUCAUUAAACAUCAAGUACCCAGCAAAUAUUAUCAGGUCAUAGAAAUAAAUGUUGGUCAAUAGAAAUAAAUUGAAACAGUAAUCUAGGAAAUAAAGUGUCAUUGUUGAUUAUCUUGCACUUUUGGCUAAUUCUCCGUGUAUAAAGAGGUAAGACCACUUUCCCCUGGUUUUUUGUUUUCUCCAUUUGAUCAGUUUGGUAAAUAAUGUUUCUAAAUAGCCCGAUAGAUGCUAAAUAUAGUACAUGAAAAUACGUCACAUCAUUUACCUUAAACAGGUAUACCUAAAAUAAAUAUCAAAACCAAU
Molecule: RNA transcript, 4339 nt
Organism: Mytilus californianus (California mussel)
Lineage: Eukaryota; Metazoa; Mollusca; Bivalvia; Mytilida; Mytilidae
Gene name: low-density lipoprotein receptor-related protein 8-like
Exons: 9
Source: RefSeq, a predicted model, not a curated record